ACGGCGGUUCGUUCUCUCACUCACUGACUCCGUGAUUCUGCUUUCCAGGGUUUCUCCUAUGAGAGUUAAGAAGUGAACCCCAAUCAAGAAAAAACAUUUGUAACCCCGGUUACUUAAUUUGAAACCACCGCCUUGGGGCAGACGUCAAGCUGGCGACCGGAGCAGGAAAGAAGGAGGAAGAGGAGGAGCAGCCUGCAGCAGCAGUAGUGAAGGAGGAAGAGGAGGAGCAUGUGGUGGAGAAGGUUUUGGACCGCAGAGUGGUGAAGGGAAGAGUAGAGUUUCUGCUGAAAUGGAAGGGGUUCUCAGAUGAGGAGAACACAUGGGAGCCACAAGACAACCUGGACCUGGACCUUAUCACCGAGUACCUGCAGAAACACGAGGAGACGGAGGAGAAGAAGAAGGAGGAGGGCAAGAGGAAAGGUGUCAGGGAGGAGGAGAAACAAAGAGUGCCAACCAAUCCCCUAAGUCGGAGAGGCUGAUGACCCCUACAGAUACUAGAUCAAGGUCAACUGGGAGUCAAACACUCCCACAAAGAAAAGUUUCCAGCUCCACCAAUCCCAGACCAUCCCCCCGUUGUUCCUGCCUGGCUCAAGGCCGCCAACAAAAAGGCCACACAGGAGUCCUCAGCAGACGUCAAGCUGGCGACCGGAGCAGGAAAGGAGGAAGAGCAGGGGCCUGUAGCAGUGAAGGAGGAGGAGGAGCCUGCAGCAGUGAAGGAGGAAGA
Molecule: long non-coding RNA, 724 nt
Organism: Etheostoma spectabile (orangethroat darter)
Lineage: Eukaryota; Metazoa; Chordata; Actinopteri; Perciformes; Percidae
Exons: 4
Source: RefSeq, a predicted model, not a curated record